Molecule: ribosomal RNA, 406 nt
Filed under: uncultured bacterium
Lineage: Bacteria
Description: partial 16S ribosomal RNA
Rfam family: Bacterial small subunit ribosomal RNA
Source: RNAcentral
AUUGAACGCUGGCGGCAGGCCUAACACAUGCAAGUCGAGCGAGCGGCGGACGGGUGAGUAAUGUCUGGGAAACUGCCUGAUGGAGGGGGAUCACUACUGGAAACGGUAGCUAAUCCCGCAUACCAUCAGAUGUUCCCAGAUGGGAUUAGCUAGUAGGUGGGGUAACGGCUCACCUAGGCUACGAUCCCUAGCUGGUCUGAGAGGAUGACCAGCAACACUGUAACUGAGUCACGGUCUAGACUCCUACGGGAGGCAGCAGUGGGGAAUAUUGCACAAGGGGCGCAAGCCUGAUGCAGCCAUGACGCGUGGGUGAAGAAGGCCUUCGGGUUGUAAAGAAUUUUCAGCGGGGAGGCGUUACCCGCAGAAGAAGCACCGGCUAACUCCGUGCCAGCAGCCGCGGUAAUAC